Molecule: transfer RNA, 73 nt
Filed under: Thermoplasmatales archaeon I-plasma
Lineage: Archaea; Methanobacteriati; Thermoplasmatota; Thermoplasmata; Thermoplasmatales
Also listed under: 3 other names
Rfam family: tRNA
About the family: Transfer RNA (tRNA) molecules are approximately 80 nucleotides in length. Their secondary structure includes four short double-helical elements and three loops (D, anti-codon, and T loops).
Source: Rfam by way of RNAcentral
GCCACCGUGGCUCAGUUGGUAGAGCAGCUGAUUCGUAAUCAGCAGGUCGGGGGUCCGAAUCCCUCCGGUGGCU